Molecule: ribosomal RNA, 665 nt
Filed under: Polaromonas sp. UC7249
Lineage: Bacteria; Pseudomonadati; Pseudomonadota; Betaproteobacteria; Burkholderiales; Comamonadaceae
Description: bacterial SSU rRNA
Rfam family: Bacterial small subunit ribosomal RNA
Source: RNAcentral
GCUCUGUGGNUUAGUGGCGAACGGGUGAGUAACACGUGAGUAACCUGCCCUUGACUCUGGGAUAAGCACUGGAAACGGUGUCUAAUACCGGAUACGACCCUCGGAGGCAUCUCCAGGGGGUGGAAAGAAUUUCGGUCAAGGAUGGACUCGCGGCCUAUCAGCUAGUUGGUGAGGUAAUGGCCCACCAAGGCGACGACGGGUAGCCGGCCUGAGAGGGUGACCGGCCACACUGGGACUGAGACACGGCCCAGACUCCUACGGGAGGCAGCAGUGGGGAAUAUUGCACAAUGGGCGCAAGCCUGAUGCAGCAACGCCGCGUGAGGGACGAAGGCCUUCGGGUUGUAAACCUCUUUUAGUAGGGAAGAAGCGAAAGUGACGGUACCUGCAGAAAAAGCACCGGCUAACUACGUGCCAGCAGCCGCGGUAAUACGUAGGGUGCAAGCGUUAUCCGGAAUUAUUGGGCGUAAAGAGCUCGUAGGCGGUUUGUCGCGUCUGCUGUGAAAACUGGGGGCUCAACCCCCAGCCUGCAGUGGGUACGGGCAGACUAGAGUGCGGUAGGGGAGAUUGGAAUUCCUGGUGUAGCGGUGGAAUGCGCAGAUAUCAGGAGGAACACCAAUGGCGAAGGCAGAUCUCUGGGCCGUAACUGACGCUGAGGAGCGAAAGCA